RNAcentral lists this ribosomal RNA (445 nucleotides) under Agromyces italicus. Its description in RNAcentral is "bacterial SSU rRNA". It matches the Rfam family "Bacterial small subunit ribosomal RNA", at positions 112 to 568 of the family's 1533-position model. The record is from RNAcentral. Lineage: Bacteria; Bacillati; Actinomycetota; Actinomycetes; Micrococcales; Microbacteriaceae.
AACACGUGAGUAACCUGCCCUGGACUCUGGGAUAAGCGUUGGAAACGACGUCUAAUACCGGAUAGGACCUCGGAUCGCAUGAUCUGGGGUGGAAAGUUUUUCGGUCUGGGAUGGACUCGCGGCCUAUCAGCUUGUUGGUGAGGUAAUGGCUCACCAAGGCGUCGACGGGUAGCCGGCCUGAGAGGGUGACCGGCCACACUGGGACUGAGACACGGCCCAGACUCCUACGGGAGGCAGCAGUGGGGAAUAUUGCACAAUGGGCGCAAGCCUGAUGCAGCAACGCCGCGUGCGGGAUGACGGCCUUCGGGUUGUAAACCGCUUUUAGUAGGGAAGAAGGGCUUCGGCUUGACGGUACCUGCAGAAAAAGGACCGGCUAACUACGUGCCAGCAGCCGCGGUAAUACGUAGGGUCCGAGCGUUGUCCGGAAUUAUUGGGCGUAAAGAGC